GUGCUUGCUUUGGCAGCACAUAUACUAAAAUUGGAAUGAUACAGAGAAGAUUAGCAUGGCCCCUGCACAAGGAUGACACACAAUUCAUGAAAUGUUCCAUAUUUUU
This 106-nucleotide small nuclear RNA is filed under the name Dasypus novemcinctus (nine-banded armadillo). Lineage: Eukaryota; Metazoa; Chordata; Mammalia; Cingulata; Dasypodidae. The record is from RNAcentral.